RNAcentral lists this ribosomal RNA (288 nucleotides) under uncultured archaeon. RNAcentral's name for it is "partial 16S ribosomal RNA". It matches the Rfam family "Archaeal small subunit ribosomal RNA", at positions 339 to 631 of the family's 1478-position model. The record is from RNAcentral.
GCGCGAAAACUUUACAAUGCGGGAAACCGUGAUAAGGGNACUCCGAGUGUCCGUAAAUGCGGACUGUCCGUAUGUUUAAAAAGCAUGCGAAGAAAGGGCCGGGCAAGACCGGUGCCAGCCGCCGCGGUAAUACCGGCGGCUCGAGUGGUGGCCACUAUUACUGGGCUUAAAGCGUUCGUAGCUGGGUUGUUAAGUCUCUUGGGAAAUCUACCGGCUUAACCGAUAGGCGUCCAAGGGAUACUGGCAAUCUAGGGACCGGGAGAGGUGAGGGGUACUUCAGGGGUAGGA